AACUUAUGCAGGGACAGAGGGAGAGUAACAGAGAUGAACUGUUAAGAACAGCACUGAAUGAGCCCUGAGGAAAGUUAGUGUUGUUUCAAUUUUUCUUUUUCUUUCUCACUACACAAAUUAGUAAUAACAAUUUCAUUUUAAUUAGCACUCAAUUAAGAUAAUUUUUCCCAAGUCAAGACUGUCAUGCCUAUGCUGGUAAUUAGUAAGUGAUCCCUGUAUCUUUAUCUCAACCUUCCAUUUUUCCCUAUUUUUUUCCCAGCCCCACUGAGCGAGUGGCUGUGUGAGUCUGGCUGCUACCCAGAGCUAAUCCACAACAAGAUGUUACUGCUUUAAACCCAGUGAGGUAAGGUACAUUCAAAACAGCUACAGUUUAGUCUUUUUUAACUUUGGAAGAAAUAGAAGAAGCAUCUUCCCCCAGAAACAUCUAAUUGGUAAAAGUCUCAUACAAAUUAAUAAUACUGAAGAAUGCUCAUUGAAAGAUGCCAUUGCAGAUGCUACACAUGCAGAAUGCAAGACUACCAGACUAGGUAUUGUGCUUUCAUUAUGUCAAUCAAGAUACUCAAUCUGAUCUUUUAUCUC
RNAcentral lists this long non-coding RNA (579 nucleotides) under Numida meleagris (helmeted guineafowl). RNAcentral's name for it is "lncRNA (ENSNMEG00000019122.1)". The record is from RNAcentral. Lineage: Eukaryota; Metazoa; Chordata; Aves; Galliformes; Numididae.